AUGAGUAACAUGGAUCCAUUAGAACAGAAGAAUGAUCAGAUGUCCAAGGAUGGUCUCGAGUUAGAUAAGGAAACCAGAUUAAGGACACUUACCGAAAAAGCUCAAAUUGAAUAUGACCAAACGGUUACAAACUACUUUUCAAAACUUUCAACAUUGAAAAGAAACGUGGAUUAUGAAAUCGGAACUUAUAAAUCUGAAGAUCAAACAAAAGAAUCAAUAUCCGUGUGCCAAAAAAGGAUAGAAAAUUCACUUGACAAAUACCUCAAUAUGGCAGAAGAAAUCUCGCAAUAUCUCAAAAGGAAAAACACGGCAGAUAGCCUUCAAGAACUCGAAAAUCACGAAUCGGUGUAUACUAAUGUAGAACUAUCCGCAGACGAAGUAUUUCGAGAUAUACAAAGGAUACAACAAAGGACUAAAACAAAAUCUGUUAAAUCAGUUAGAUCAAAUGGACGAUCGUCAGUAGCAUCAUCAACCACGAAAAUGAAAGCUAGAGCUGAAGCAGCAAAAGCAUCAUUAGAAUUCGCAGCUAAGGAAGCCGAACUUAAGAAGGCAGAUGCAGAAAUACAGCGAAAACAGAUGGACAUUCAAGCAGAUCUAGAAUUUCUUAGUAAGCAAAAAGAAGCAGCUGUAGCAUAUGCAGAGUACAAAGCAGCUAUGGAAGACGAUGAUUCACAGCAUGAUGCCAAGUCAUUACAAGGAAUACCUAAACAAGACGAGUUAGAUCGAACUAGACAGUACGUCGAAAGUCAUAGAAAUGUUACAUUUAACAGUCAGAACUUCCGUGAUAAUCCGGUUCACAGCAAUACUCACUUGGGCGAUCAUACUAGUGCUCCAUUUAUCCCAAGUACCCACCAGGAUCAAAUGCCUGUAUCGGGACCUGUUGAAACUCACGAUACGAACAACCCUAGUUUGAGCGAAUUUUCGCGAUUUCUAUUAAAGAAAGAUCUUUUGAUGUCGAAGAUUUAACCGUUUCAAUGACCGUCCAGAAUCGUUAUGCACUUUGGAAAUCCGGUUUUAAAGCUAUUACAAAGGAACUUGAAGUGACUGCUGUUGAGGAAAGUGAACUUUUAAUUAAGUGGCUUGGACCCGAUUCAUCAAAGUUUGGGCAAAGCAUCCGGACAUCAAACUUAAGUGAUCCGUCGAUAGGAUUACGAAAGAUAUGGCAAAGGCUAGAAGAACGUUUUGGUAGCCCGGAAAUGAUAGAAACGUCACUGAAGACAAAGAUCAAUGAAUUUCCUAAAGUAACAUUUAGAGAUGUGAAAACGAUUAUAUGAUUUACAAGACGUUCUUUCGGAAAUAUUGUCUAUUAAAGAGAAUCCUGUAUAUGAGAAGCUUCUAAGUUACUUCGACUCUUCAGUAGGAAUCAACCCGAUAAUGAGUAAAUUGCCACAAUCGCUACAAUAUAAGUGGAGGGAUAAAGCAACAAACUACAAGAAGUCAAAGAAUGUUCCGUUAUCCGCCAUUUUCGUUUUUUGUUGAAUUCAUAUCCGAUCAGGCUAGUAAGUACAAUGACCCAGGAUUCAAAUUUGAAAGUGAUCAAAACAACAAUUCACCACAAGCACGGGAUAAAGAAUCCGGACGUUCAUCUCAGAGACCACGCUUGAGCGCGAGAAACAUAAAUGUUAGUAAGACAGAAAUUGCUACUUCCACAGAGGGUAUUAAACCAAUUAAGCUUAAAUGUGCUAUUCAUAAGACUAAUCAUUCGUUAAAUGAUUGCAGGUCGUUUUUAUCCAAGUCUAUAGAGGACCGUCGUAAGAUAAUUAAGGAAAACGGUAUAUGCUUCAAGUGCAUCAACUCGAAAGAUCACCUCAGUCGCAAUUGUCCUGAAAAUGUUCAAUGUAAGGAGUGUGACAGCUCUACUCAUAGUUCAGGAAUGCAUAUUUACGGACAACAGAAAAUGCAACCUUUGGAACCCCAUGGCGGGGAGCAAUCUGAAGACGCAAGUAAAGUUGUUAAGGCGUGUUGCAUGGACAUAUGUAAUGGUAAAUUUUCUGGAAAGUCAUGUGCGAAAAUACUUCCGGUAUUUGUUUCACAUGAAGAUGAUCCAUCCAAACGCAUCAAGACUUACAUUAUAUUAGACGAACAAAGCAAUAGGUCUUUGGGUAGGAAAGAACUGUUUGAUUCAUUUGACAUUGUAUGUAAACCAGAGGAGUAUACAUUAAUGAGUUGCUCGGGUCGGACAAGAAUGAAUGGUCGACGUGUGUCAGGAUUGUUACUCGAAUCUUUAGAUGGGUCAACAAAAAUGCAAUUGCCAACAGUCAUAGAAUGUAAGGAGAUACCAAAUAAUCGCGAUGAGAUUCCGACUCCAGACGUAGCUAAUUAUCACGAUCAUCUUCGUAGCAUUUCACAUGAACUUGAACCUUUAGAUGAAAAUGCAGAUAUUCUUUUAUUGAUAGGACGAGACCUUCUAGAAGCUCAUCACAUAAUUGAACAACGAAUCGGACCAGCUCAUUCUCCAUAUGCACAAAGAUUAGCUCUGGGUUGGGUUAUAAUCGGAGAUGUUUGUAUUGGAAAUAGACAUGUCACAGACUCUGUCAAGUCUUACAAGACAUACAUUCAAGCAGGUGGACGCCCGUCACUCUUAAAACCGUGUCCAAAUGUAAUCAGUGUACGGGAAUUGCUGAAAACUCAAAACAAACUUGAUAAUAUUGACUUUGAUGAAACAAAAUUGGGAGACGGUGUAUUUGAUCGCACUGAGUUCGAUGACACACCUGGAAAGUCUAUAGAAGACAAAAUAUUUCUUGAUAUAAUGGAGAAGGAUUUCCACAAGAAUGAACAUGGAAAUUGGUGCGCACCUUUACCCUUUAAACCUAAUAGGGAACGAUUACCAAACAAUUUUCCUAUGGCUUUACGUCGUGCUAAAACACUUGAUAGAAGUCUUCAGUCUAAUAAAGAAAAACGUGAACACUUUUUAGAAUUUAUGCACAAUCUUAUACAAAACAAUCAUGCAGAAAUAGCACCAAAACUUGAUGAAGGAGCAGAAUCUUGGUACCUACCUGUCUUUGGUAUCUAUCAUCCAAAGAAACCUGGAAAGAUCCGUUGUGUUUUUGAUUCCUCUGCCAAAUUUGGAGAUGUGUCACUCAACAAUGUAUUGCUACAAGGACCAGAUCUAAAUAAUUCUCUUCUGAGUGUCCUCAUGCGCUUCAGAAAGAAUCGUAUUGCUGCCUCAGCUGACGUUCAGCAGAUGUUCUAUUCGUUUUCUGUUGAUGAGAAGCAUAGAGACUUUCUUCGUUUCCUAUGGCACGAAGACAAUGACCUUGAUAAACAACUAGUAGCCUUUAGAAUGACCGUACACGUAUUCGGGAAUAGCCCCUCGCCAGCGGUUGCAACAUAUGGACUACGAAAGUGCUCAAAUUUGGCUGAACCAGAUGUUAGAGAUUUUAUUCAGAGACACUUUUAUGUUGACGAUGGCCUCAUAUCAUUAGAUAGCAGUCAGGACAUGAUAGAUCUGCUAACACGAACUCAGAAAACCUUAUUGGAGGAAGGAAAUAUACGCCUUCACAAGUUCGCAUCAAAUAGUGAUGAAGUAAUGUCCGCUCUUCCACAUGAAGAUCUUGCUCAAGACUUGAAGAGUAUAGACUUUGAUUCAGAUAGUGUUCCGCUACAGAGGAGUUUAGGGUUGUAUUGGGACCUAGCUACAGACUGUUUUACCUAUCGAAUUUCUGAAGAAAGCAAACCUUUUACACGCCGUGGUGUAUUAUCUACACUUAACAGUUUAUUUGACCCGCUAGGCUUUGUCGCUCCAGUCAUAAUUAAAGGUAAAAUUAUACUGCGUGAGCUUAUGGCGCAAUCUGUUGAUUGGGACGAACCCCUGCCGGAACACAGCAGAUCGGAAUGGGAAACUUGGAGAAAUUCGCUUAGUGCACUUCAGAACAUUACAAUUCCACGCAUGUAUGUAAGUUCUUCAUUAAGUAAAAAACCUACCUUUGAACUUCAUGUCUUUGCUGACGCAUCUGAAAAGGCUAUUGCAGCGGUAUCAUACUUACUACUUACGAACAAUAAAACCUGAUGGCAACUUUGAAACUGGAUUCAUUUUAGGAAAGGCAAAAGUCGCACCUCACCAUGGACACACUAUACCGAGGUUAGAGCUGUGUGCAGCUGUUUUGGCGGUUGACGUAGCAAAGACAGUUGUUGAGAACUUUGAUGAGACUUUCGAUGUUGUUAAGUUUUACACCGACAGCAAGGUGGUCCUGGGAUAUAUUUAUAACCAGACACGUCGCUUUUAUGUUUAUGUGGAACAUAGAAUCGAACGCAUACGUAAGUCAACGGUCCCAGAACAAUGGAAUUACGUUCCAACAUCAGUCAAUCCCGCAGAUCAAGCUACAAGGUCAGUUUCGUCAGAAGAUAUUGGUUCUAGUUGUUGGUUGCAAGGACCAACUAAGUUUCUAAGCGGAGAACUACAAGCUUCUGCAUCUACUGAAACUCUAACGACACUAGUCAAUCCAGAUUUAGAUAAAGAAGUACGACCUAUUGUGACAGUUACAAAGACUACAAUUGAAGACAGUCAUUCUAUUGGAUCUGAACGAUUUCAAAACUUUUCAUCAUGGAAGUCACUGGUAAAUGGAAUAGCCGUUCUACAAAGAUUCAUUCAGUCGAGAUUCAAAAAGGUUACUUUACAAGAUAUCGAUGUAGUUAAGUCGCUCAAUGAGUCAGAAAUAUUUAUAAUUAAGACAAUACAAAGUGAAGUUUAUAGUUCAGAAAUAGACUGCAUAGUAAAUGGACAAAAUCUUAGGAAAAACAGUAGUAUUAUAUCUUUAGAUCCAUUUCUGGAUAGUGAAGGCAUUUUGCGUGUUGGUGGAAGACUCAAUAAAUCAAAUCUGCCAUACCAAGAAAGAAAUCCACUCAUUCUUCCAGGAAAAUGUCAUGUGUCAAAAUUACUAGUGCAACAUUUUCAUGCCCAAGUCAAGCACCAAGGAAGACAUUUUACAGAAGGUGCUAUUCGUGCAGAGGGUUACUGGAUUACAGGCUCGAAACGUCUCGUAUCAUCUGUUAUACACCAUUGCGUCCCGUGUCGUAAACUCAGAGGUUGUUUGGAGGUUCAAAAGAUGGCUGACCUCCCUACAGACAGAAUAGAACCCACUCCGCCAUUUACUAAUGUGGGGGUCGAUGCAUUUGGUCCUUGGUCUGUUAUUCAUCGCAGGACUCGUGGUGGCUGUUCAAAUUCUAAGAGGUGGGCUAUACUUUUUACAUGUCUCACGACACGUGCAAUACAUAUAGAAAUAGUCGAAGAGAUGUCUUCGAGUGCUUUCAUCAAUGCCUUACGCAGAUUCAUUGCAAUCAGAGGAAAAGUGAGUGUUUUUAGAUCAGAUCGCGGUACUAAUUUCAUAGGUGCAGUGGAUCCUUUACACAUCGAGGCAAUUAACGUUGAAGAUGACAAAGUUAAAACAUUUAUGCAUGAAACCAGGACGAUUUGGAUUUUCAACCCUCCCCACUCCUCGCACAUGGGAGGAGCGUGGGAACGAUUAAUAGGCGUAACAAGAAGGAUUUUGGACUCUAUUCUUACAGAUUCAAACACAAAAUUUCUAACUCAUGAUGUUUUAGUUACCUUCAUGGCUGAAGUAGCGAGUAUAGUGAAUCAUAGACCAAUAGUUCCGGUUUCUUCUGACACUUGA
RNAcentral lists this small RNA (5612 nucleotides) under Mytilus galloprovincialis (Mediterranean mussel). Lineage: Eukaryota; Metazoa; Mollusca; Bivalvia; Mytilida; Mytilidae. The record is from RNAcentral.